RNAcentral lists this ribosomal RNA (598 nucleotides) under uncultured archaeon. RNAcentral's name for it is "bacterial SSU rRNA". It matches the Rfam family "Archaeal small subunit ribosomal RNA", at positions 323 to 921 of the family's 1478-position model. The record is from RNAcentral.
CUACGGGGCGCAGCAGGCGCGAAACCUUUACACUGCACGACAGUGCGAUAGGGGGACUCCGAGUGCGAGGGCAUAGAGCCCUCGCUUUUGUACACCGUAAGGUGGUGUACGAAUAAGAACUGGGCAAGACCGGUGCCAGCCGCCGCGGUAAUACCGGCAGUUCGAGUGAUGGCCGAUCUUAUUGGGCCUAAAGCGUUCGUAGCUGGCCAGUCAAGUCUGUCGGGAAACCUGCCCGCUCAACGGGCAGCCGUCCGGCGGAAACUGAUUGGCUUGGGACCGGGAGACUCGAGGAGUACGUCCGGGGUAGGAGUGAAAUCCUGUAAUCCUGGACGGACUACCGAUGGCGAAAGCACCUCGAGAGAACGGAUCCGACAGUGAGGGACGAAAGCUGGGGUCUCGAACCGGAUUAAAUACCCGGGUAGUCCCAGCCGUAAACGAUGCCCGCUAGGUGUGGCACAGGCUACGAGCCUGUGCUAUGCCGCAGUGAAGACCCAAGCGGGCCGCCUGGGAAGUACGUCUGCAAGGAUGAAACUUAAAGGAAUUGGCGGGGGAGCACUACAACCGGAGGAGCCUGCGGUUUAAUUGGAGUCAACGCCGG